GAAGAUGUAGCUCAGUGGUAGAGCAUUUGUCUAGCAUAUACAAGAUGAUGGGUUUGAUCCCCAGCUCCA
This 69-nucleotide transfer RNA is filed under the name Ictidomys tridecemlineatus (thirteen-lined ground squirrel). RNAcentral describes it as "Spermophilus tridecemlineatus (thirteen-lined ground squirrel) tRNA". It matches the Rfam family "tRNA". Rfam says of the family: Transfer RNA (tRNA) molecules are approximately 80 nucleotides in length. Lineage: Eukaryota; Metazoa; Chordata; Mammalia; Rodentia; Sciuridae. The record is from Rfam by way of RNAcentral.